This 1015-nucleotide unclassified non-coding RNA is filed under the name Hevea brasiliensis (rubber tree). The record is from RNAcentral. Lineage: Eukaryota; Viridiplantae; Streptophyta; Magnoliopsida; Malpighiales; Euphorbiaceae.
GGGCGCUUGGUUUUUCAAGUUGGCUCCCUCCUUUCUUUUAGUCAAUUGUAGUCUCCUCUGCUGUUGUUUUCACAGCAGCCAGGCAGCACUAACAACUUCUCUCUCAGUUCCACACACAAGGUGCCUCUUUUCCCUUUCAUCUUUUCUAUCUUUACUUCUCAAUCUCCUCGUUUUACUCUCCAAUUCAAUUUCAUUCUUGAUUCUGACAAUAAAAUGCAUGUUAGAGUUUGACAAAAAUACCUUUGUUUUAGCGUUCCUUUCUGUCUGCUUCUUCAAUUAAGAUGCGUUGUUCCCUUGUGUCUGCUUGCUAAACUUUCUGUUUGCUUCUUGGGAUUUUAGAGCUUUAGUAUUGCUUAACUCUUGUAGAAAAUAUGCUCGCAAGUGGCCUUUUCCCCACUUUAUAUAUUUAUUUUUCGUGUGUAGCUUUUUGGGUUUAUUUGCAAUACUCUUUUUGGGAAGUCUUUUUCUCCUCAAAAGAGACAGAGUAAGGCAAUUUCAGACUUUUUUUGAGUUGGAUAUUGUUUUGAUAUUGAAUGAUGAUUCAUAAUGUUCUUGUAAUUCAGAUAUUAGGUGGUCUUGUUCCUGUACUUGAAGACGGUGUGUGAACAAAGAUAAGUGAUUGAAAAUGAACUGGCUGAGGUCACGAUGAGCAUUUGGUGAUGCUUGUAGUUGAAUGAAACUUGACUUUUUAUGAACACCUUAAAAUUUUCUUUUGUGAUUUUUUUUAAUAUUAAAAAACAUAUAGAUGGUACAUGGGCGGCGUAUUUGUCAACAAUGUUGAAUAAAGUGAAGGUGAGGAUACAUGCAAGUAUUUUGUCGAAUGAUGACUAGCUAAUUAAUGUAGGUUAAGUAAUGGUACUCUAUAUCCAUCUGAAACUUGAUAUCUUGUUUAGAAGAAUCAGUUAAAGAAAGGAUGUGUGGCGGUUUAACUUACCUGUAAUAUUGUACAGACAGAUCUUAGGUCAAUAAGAUCAUGAAUUGAAUUCCCUUAGGGCUUAUUAUUAUUAUUAUUAUU